This 530-nucleotide long non-coding RNA is filed under the name Daucus carota (carrot). RNAcentral describes it as "long non-coding RNA (DCAR_LNC005227)". Lineage: Eukaryota; Viridiplantae; Streptophyta; Magnoliopsida; Apiales; Apiaceae. The record is from RNAcentral.
CCCUCUACCAUCCAAAAAGCAACACUGCCCCCCACACUCCACACUUCCAUUCCUCACAGAACAUUCAUCAAACACUUGCAGCAAUGCCCCCAGAAACAAGUGAUCAUCGACGAUCAACAAAGCCACAGCAACUGGGUGGCGCGCCACCUCCCGAACCAGAACACCUCCCCUGUCCCCGCUGUGACUCCACCAACACCAAGUUCUGCUACUACAACAACUACAACUUCUCUCAGCCUCGUCACUUCUGCAAAGCCUGUAGGCGUUACUGGACUCACGGUGGCACUCUCCGCGACAUCCCUGUCGGCGGCGGUAGCCGCAAGAAUGCCAAGCGUUCCCGGCCUUCUUCUUCCAUUUUCGCCACUUCUGGCCAGGACUACCGCCACCUCCCCGCCGCCGCCACCCCCAUUUUCCUCCCCCUCUCCGGCGGUGAUCAUGGUGGGUCCCUCCCUUUUAUGAGCGACGUUAAGCAGGGUUAUAACAUGUGUGGCAGCUUCACUUCGCUAUUGAAUCAAGGGCCUGGGCUUUUGAGU